CAACCGUUGGAAACGACGGCUAAUCCCCAAUGUGCCGAGAGGUGAAAAGGGUUUCCGCCUGAAGAAGAGCUCGCGUCCGAUUAGUCAGUUGGUGAGGUAAGAGCUCACCAAGGCAGCGAUCGGUAGCUGGUCUGAGAGGAUGAGCAGCCACACUGGGACUGAGACACGGCCCAGACUCCUACGGGAGGCAGCAGUGGGGAAUUUUCCGCAAUGGGCGAAAGCCUGACGGAGCAACGCCGCGUGUGGGAAGAAGGCUCUUGGGCUGUCAACCACUUUUCUCAGGGAAGAAGACCUGACGGUACCUGAGGAAUCAGCCUCGGCUAACUCCGUGCCAGCAGCCGCGGUAAUACGGAGGAGGCAAGCGUUAUCCGGAAUUAUUGGGCGUAAAGCGUCCGCAGGGGGCGCAUCAAGUCUGCUGUUAAAGGCUGGAGCUUAACUCCGGUAGAGCAGUGGAAACUGGUGCGCUAGAGGGCGACAGGGGUAGAGGGAAUUCCCAGUGUAGCGGUGAAAUGCGUAGAGAUUGGGAAGAACACCGGUGGCGAAAGCGCUCUACUGGGUCGCACCUGA
Molecule: ribosomal RNA, 567 nt
Filed under: Euhalothece sp. 'MPI 95AH11'
Lineage: Bacteria; Bacillati; Cyanobacteriota; Cyanophyceae; Chroococcales; Halothecacae
Description: bacterial SSU rRNA
Rfam family: Bacterial small subunit ribosomal RNA
Source: RNAcentral